This 467-nucleotide ribosomal RNA is filed under the name uncultured bacterium. Its description in RNAcentral is "bacterial SSU rRNA". It matches the Rfam family "Bacterial small subunit ribosomal RNA", at positions 28 to 485 of the family's 1533-position model. The record is from RNAcentral.
GAUGAACGCUAGCGAUAGGCCUAACACAUGCAAGUCGAGGGGCAUCACAUGAAGUAGCAAUACGGAUGGUGGCGACCGGCGCACGGGUGAGUAACACGUAUGCAACCUGCCUUCAACAAGGGGAUAACCCGUUGAAAGACGGACUAAUACCCUAUAACACAGGGGUCCCGCAUGGGGAUAUUUGUUAAAGGACAACCGGUUGAAGAUGGGCAUGCGUUCCAUUAGCUAGUUGGCGGGGUAAGGGCCCACCAAGGCAACGAUGGAUAGGGGAACUGAGAGGUUUAUCCCCCACACUGGUACUGAGACACGGACCAGACUCCUACGGGAGCAGCAGUGAGGAAUAUUGGUCAAUGGACGCAAGUCUGAACCAGCCACGUCGCGUGAAGGAAGACGGCCCUACGGGUUGUAAACUUCUUUUAUACGGGAAUAAAGUGCCCCACGCGUGGGGUUUUGCAUGUACCGUAUGA